Malurus melanocephalus (red-backed fairy wren) is the source of this 4114-nucleotide long non-coding RNA. RefSeq lists it as uncharacterized. The record is from RefSeq and is a predicted model, not a curated record. The transcript has 3 exons. NCBI's taxonomy places the organism in Eukaryota, Metazoa, Chordata, Aves, Passeriformes, Maluridae.
CAGAGGACUUCCAGAAGUGUCCUCCAGUUAGGCUUCAGCUCUGUAAGAAGGAUGCCYACGGAGUGCCGCCCGUUGUCACACUCAGAAUCACAGAAUAGCUUGAAUUGGAAGGGCUCCACAAGGACCAUCAAGUCAAACUCCUGGCCAUGCRUAGGACAGCCCCAUGAAUGACACCAUGUGCCUGAGAGCAUUUUGCAACACUUCUUGAACUCUAUAGGGCUUGGUGCUGUGACCACUUCUCUGGGGAGCCUGUUUCCAGUGCCCAACCACCUUCCAGAUGAACAAUCGUUUUCUAAUAUCCAUCCUAAACCUCCCCUGAGAAAACUUCAUGUAGUUCUGGGUCUUGUCACUGGUCAUCACAGAUGAAAAGAUCAGUGUCUGCCCUUCCACUACUCCUGACAAGGAAGUUGUAGACUGCAAUGAGGUCUCCCCUCAUCCAGGUUGARCAGACCCAUGGGCCUCAGCCACUUCUCAUACAGCUUCCCCCUCAAGGCCCUGUAUUCCAGAUCAGUGUCUGGUCUGUCCACACCAUGAGGACUUUUCGUCCCAUCAUUGUUGGCUUCUUGCCACUUCAUGGAAGUGGGCCAGUCUUGAAAUGAGUGAAAGGCUUGCAACAUGGCUAUGUUCCUUCCCUGGUUCAGCUGCAUAGGGCACAUAAUGUGCAUUUUGAUUCUGUGCUGCCUUUCUUAAUAUGACUUCCUGGCCUUUCCCUAGAUUGCAUCCAUGAUAAUAGGACCAUCUUUCUUAGUUCCCACCUACCUUUGUUUUCCUUUUAAGUUUUCCAUCUACUGUGCUCAUGGCAUUCCUUCAUCUUUUCCCUUUGCCAGUGAAACACAUCCAUCUUCUCCGCUGUCUUACACCACAGCCCCCAUAUGUCUGCCCAAGCCCCACGAUUCUUACAUGUUUAUGUUGUUGAAAUAUCUUCUCAGUUUGUUUCAAAGGCCAUGAUGGCCACUCUAGAGCAACCUAAAAUGCUGGGAAAGGCAGGAGUGAAUCAGUAAGUGUGGAAAGGAGGAAGUGCCAGCCUCAUUCCUGGCACCAUCUCCCUCCCAUGUCAAUUGUAUUAUACAGCCUGUGCUUCACACCCUUACAUGUGUGUGCACCCUUUGUUCCUGGUGCUCUGACUACCUGGUUCACUGCCAACUUUCCUUUAGCCACAUGCAGUUUCAUAAACGGUGCCUCCUGAGAAGAUAACCUGAAUCUAAAAGUCUGAAAGUCCUGUGGGUUGUGAACAUUUUCAGUGGCAGCAAGCAACACCYGCAAAUUGGAUAAGCUGUAAGGGAAACUGGGGGUGAUUUUGACUAAUGGGAGCCAAUGACUUCACUGCUUGUGAAAGCAGGCAAAGAGUCAAUGACGAUGCAAGGAGGUUGCAAGAAGUACACCACAGAUGACAAGAAAUUGAAGAGCGACUUGCAGCUGUCAUGAUACCUACUACCAAACUAUGAAAGCAGUGUCUCUGAGAUAGUUUUGGCAACGAAGUUGUACCUAUCCUGCCAGCAUUUCACACCAACAGUGCACAGUGAGCAGCUUCAUCCAUUUAAGGAAUGYUUUACUUUGCUUGGAUGUGUCUUCACCAAGGCUGGGCAACCCACUACAUGCAACACUAGCUCCUUGCAGGAUGCCUGGUUUGCCACGAUAAGGGACCAGAAAACACAAAGACUUUGGGAUUCCUAUGGCUGGAUGCUAGACAGAAAAUGGUAUUUCUACAUAGAUACUUCUUAUGAACUGAAUUCUUUCAUGUACCCUGCCCUGCUGUCCAGCCUGAAGUAUCCAAAGCAUUGAAGAAUUGCACAAGUGAAAUUGUAGGAAUCAGGAACAUCAGAYGGCUUUGCAUAUUGAGUCCCAUUUGGAGCUUUUGCAAUGGAACACUAGCAUCUCAGUGGACAAGAAUGGACUUGAACUUUUAGCAGAUUUUUUUUUUUUCCACAGGUGGAAACUGUAUUUGGCCUUAGAGGUAUACUGGGCUAAGCACAACUAAAUAUGCUAUUAAGUAUGCAUUGUCAGUUUAAACUUUUAUCAGCAUGUCUCGGUUUGAAAGACAGGUGUCUGCUAAGGUGUCUGCCACAUUCUCUUGGAACAGAGAAUAUCACCUCCCUUUCCUCCGAAUUACAGUAACUUUGAAAUUAGGAGGCUUUUAGGCAAAGAUAUGGAAAACGGAAUAACAGUUCUUUUCUAGUGUGUGUAACAAGGCAAGCAAACAACAAUAACGGCAGCAACAACAAACAAUGCUCAAAGCCAGCGCCAGCCCGCUCCUCCCGUCCCCGCYCUCCCCUGCGCUGCAGUUCCGCUCACGGCCGGCAGGGGCGCGGGGCGGGGGCGGUGAUUCCUCCGCGCCGGCAGGGGGCGCUGUGGCGUGAGGCCAGCUCGCUCUCCCUCACGCGGUGAUGGCGGGCGCGGUGGAUGGCGGAAUGAGCCAUAGCAGGGACCUCAGACCAGCAAGCUGGAACGGCAGGGCUGGCUCACCCGGGGUAGCAGGCAACAAGUCGCAGGAAUUCUGCAGCGGUGGUGGCUGGUCACUGGGUGAGGCUGUGCAGAGGCGGGGCAGCUCUCGGCAGGGGAUGGGGUGCUCCUGCUCCCGGAUUCCAACACGGCAYGCACGGGCUCUGGGCUCCCAAAUAGCAAGGGGGCAGAGAAAACGAGCCACUGUAAACCCAGUCGAAGUGCCGAAGGAAAAAGAAACAGGCAAACCCGAUAUGCAACUGUGUCUCUGCUUAGAGACACCACGCUGCCUGGUUGGCGAAAUCGCCAGAGUGUCUCUAAAAGGCGGAGCUCUCCUUGUCUGCCCUCCAAUUCUCGCAGGAAGCCUUGGGCUGGCUUUCAACUAUCGUGAUAUCCCUGGUACUGGGGUGAGGGCCAAGGGGGUGGCGUGACCCCAUUAAAAAAAAAAAAAAAAUUCAUAAUUUUUAAUUUUUGAAUGCUACGCGCAAAACAAGAAUGGAAGAAACAAAGAUGGCAUGGGUUAAAAAGAACCCCCCAAGACACGGAAAUACUCCUUUUGAGUGCUGGACACAACUAGRAUGUGUAAUGGAAGUGCUAUGCUGCUAUGCUUAUACUUUACUGGCAACCAGCAGUUGUAAAAGCUGUUUUGUUUUUUUCAGAAGUGCAGUGCAGGAGUAAAUGUUGCAUCUGAUUUCCUGAGCAGUGGCAUCCCCAUAUUCACCUGCACAUAUCCUGAGAUCACUGCUGCUCCCAAACCCUCUGUAACAGAUUUUGCAUGAUCCCAGAAUCUUUCUKCAAGUCAGACAGGUGGUGUGAAGAGGUUAAGCCAAUGGGUACUGGUACACAGCCAGAUAAAUGUGUGUAGACACUGCAUGAAAUUCUAGUAUUUUACUGCUCUUCUAUCAGCCAAAGUAUCUGAACUUCAGCAAAAUCAGGAAUUGUCUUAUUUCCUCCAUUUUGUAGUCUACAUUCAGAGGUUAUCCCAGAUCGGUUGUGCACUAUUGAGAGCUUUCAUCCUCUCUGCAGUCAGUUUUUGAUGCUGUUUAAGAUACCAGCUGUUGAUAUAGAGUUUAAGUGUCCCAGCUAACUCCUUCUCUUUGACUUUUCUGGCCAAAYCUUUAUGAAGAAUUGAGCCAAAACAAACACUAGAAAUUCAUCAAAUCAUUCUGUCCUACAAAAAUACUCCAAACUGACCACAUACCCUUGUAAUGGCAUGGUUCCAGAAGGCACACUGUUCUUACAGGACCUAAAGUCAGAGCACACUAGGAAAUUGAAACAGCUUCAAAAAGUUUUCCAAAUUCCAGCUCUGGUCUCUGGUAAAAGAAGACAAGAAAAAAGAAUUUACACUUUCUUAAAAUUAUUUUUUACUGUUCCUUUGGAAGUUAACGCAGAACAWAACAAUAAUCAUCUACUUGAUAACACAAAUGUUGCCGUUUUAACUCCAGUCUGUGUUAAUGAACCAGAAACACAGCGUCCCAAGCACUGUUCCUGCAAGGAGAAGAUAUCAGGGAUGUAUCCUGUGUACUUACAAAGCCUUUUUUUCUGUGAACAGGAGGAAGCAAUUAAAACAUUAUCAGCUCAUCGCCAUAAAUACUGUUCUGCUGCCCAGAUGUGUUUUUCUGUACAUGUUUCUCAGAGCCAUGUUGCAAUACUGGUUCAGGCUAUGAGCUGAGUU